Molecule: ribosomal RNA, 1264 nt
Filed under: Bacillus altitudinis
Lineage: Bacteria; Bacillati; Bacillota; Bacilli; Caryophanales; Bacillaceae
Description: bacterial SSU rRNA
Rfam family: Bacterial small subunit ribosomal RNA
Source: RNAcentral
GGAUGUUAGCGGCGGACGGGUGAGUAACACGUGGGUAACCUGCCUGUAAGACUGGGAUAACUCCGGGAAACCGGAGCUAAUACCGGAUAGUUCCUUGAACCGCAUGGUUCAAGGAUGAAAGACGGUUUCGGCUGUCACUUACAGAUGGACCCGCGGCGCAUUAGCUAGUUGGUGAGGUAACGGCUCACCAAGGCGACGAUGCGUAGCCGACCUGAGAGGGUGAUCGGCCACACUGGGACUGAGACACGGCCCAGACUCCUACGGGAGGCAGCAGUAGGGAAUCUUCCGCAAUGGACGAAAGUCUGACGGAGCAACGCCGCGUGAGUGAUGAAGGUUUUCGGAUCGUAAAGCUCUGUUGUUAGGGAAGAACAAGUGCAAGAGUAACUGCUUGCACCUUGACGGUACCUAACCAGAAAGCCACGGCUAACUACGUGCCAGCAGCCGCGGUAAUACGUAGGUGGCAAGCGUUGUCCGGAAUUAUUGGGCGUAAAGGGCUCGCAGGCGGUUUCUUAAGUCUGAUGUGAAAGCCCCCGGCUCAACCGGGGAGGGUCAUUGGAAACUGGGAAACUUGAGUGCAGAAGAGGAGAGUGGAAUUCCACGUGUAGCGGUGAAAUGCGUAGAGAUGUGGAGGAACACCAGUGGCGAAGGCGACUCUCUGGUCUGUAACUGACGCUGAGGAGCGAAAGCGUGGGGAGCGAACAGGAUUAGAUACCCUGGUAGUCCACGCCGUAAACGAUGAGUGCUAAGUGUUAGGGGGUUUCCGCCCCUUAGUGCUGCAGCUAACGCAUUAAGCACUCCGCCUGGGGAGUACGGUCGCAAGACUGAAACUCAAAGGAAUUGACGGGGGCCCGCACAAGCGGUGGAGCAUGUGGUUUAAUUCGAAGCAACGCGAAGAACCUUACCAGGUCUUGACAUCCUCUGACAACCCUAGAGAUAGGGCUUUCCCUUCGGGGACAGAGUGACAGGUGGUGCAUGGUUGUCGUCAGCUCGUGUCGUGAGAUGUUGGGUUAAGUCCCGCAACGAGCGCAACCCUUGAUCUUAGUUGCCAGCAUUCAGUUGGGCACUCUAAGGUGACUGCCGGUGACAAACCGGAGGAAGGUGGGGAUGACGUCAAAUCAUCAUGCCCCUUAUGACCUGGGCUACACACGUGCUACAAUGGACAGAACAAAGGGCUGCGAGACCGCAAGGUUUAGCCAAUCCCACAAAUCUGUUCUCAGUUCGGAUCGCAGUCUGCAACUCGACUGCGUGAAGCUGGAAUCGCUAG